GCGAGUUUCUAGACCAGUGUAGAAUCAACGUGAUGAAGAGAAGAAGCUCCUAGAAACUUUCUUCAUUCUUCUUUGAUCAUCCUCCAGAACUUUCCACUUUUCCACUAUAUAACCCUAACCCCUUUACCCCAUUCUCACUGCAAUUACAAAUCAAACCAAAAUUGACAAAUUUCACGCACAAAAUCACAAUAUCCAAAAAUUUCUCAAUACUGAAAAUGGAUUUGAGGUUGUUGGGUAUCGAUAACACACCACUCUUCCACACUCUCCACCAUAUGAUGGAAGCUGCCGGUGAAGAUUCCGACAAGUCUGUCAAUGCACCAUCAAGGAACUAUGUUCGUGAUGCUAAGGCCAUGGCUGCUACACCAGCGGAUGUGAAGGAGUAUCCUAAUUCGUAUGUUUUUGUUGUGGAUAUGCCAGGGUUGAAAUCUGGAGAUAUCAAAGUGCAGGUGGAAGAAGACAAUGUGCUGUUGAUUAGUGGUGAAAGGAAGAGGGAAGAAGAGAAAGAAGGUGCAAAGUUUAUUAGGAUGGAGAGAAGGGUUGGGAAAUUCAUGAGGAAGUUUAGUCUGCCAGAGAAUGCGAAUACUGAUGCAAUUUCUGCAGUUUGUCAAGAUGGAGUUCUGACUGUUACUGUUCAGAAAUUGCCUCCUCCUGAGCCAAAGAAACCCAAAACAAUUGAGGUGAAAGUUGCUUGAAGUUAUGGACUCUGUUUUGAUGGUUUGUGGUAUGAUGUAGUAGAAAUAAAGUUGUAGGAGUAGUGAACUUUUCCUUUCAUCUUUCUGCUAUGUUUUCACGUCUGUUUGAAUGUUACAAUAGCCAUGGGUAUUGUUUGUUUUGAUGUCUAAUGCAGUGCUAUGGUUCUGUUGCAUUUUCUUUAAACAGAAAUGACUUUCAUUUAAUUUUCAUGGAAGGAUUGC
Molecule: unclassified non-coding RNA, 914 nt
Filed under: Hevea brasiliensis (rubber tree)
Lineage: Eukaryota; Viridiplantae; Streptophyta; Magnoliopsida; Malpighiales; Euphorbiaceae
Source: RNAcentral